Molecule: ribosomal RNA, 118 nt
Filed under: Helianthus annuus (common sunflower)
Lineage: Eukaryota; Viridiplantae; Streptophyta; Magnoliopsida; Asterales; Asteraceae
Source: RNAcentral
GGUUGCGAUCAUACCAGCACUAAUGCACCGGAUCCCAUCAGAACUCCGCAGUUAAGCGUGCUUGGGCGAGAGUAGUACUAGGAUGGGUGACCCCCUGGGAAGUCUCGUGUUGCAACCC